UACAGAGGUCUCAAGCGUUGUUCGGAUUCAUUGGGCGUAAAGGGUGCGUAGGCGGCGCGGUAAGUCGGAUGUGAAAUCUCGGGGCUUAACUCCGAAACUGCAUUCGGUACUGCCGUGCUUGAGGACUGGAGAGGAGACUGGAAUUUACGGUGUAGCGGUGAAAUGCGUAGAUAUCGUAAGGAAGACCAGUGGCGAAGGCGGGUCUCUGGACAGUUCCUGACGCUGAGGCACGAAGGCCAGGGGAGCAAACGGG
This 253-nucleotide ribosomal RNA is filed under the name uncultured bacterium. RNAcentral's name for it is "partial 16S ribosomal RNA". It matches the Rfam family "Bacterial small subunit ribosomal RNA", at positions 524 to 776 of the family's 1533-position model. The record is from RNAcentral.